RNAcentral lists this ribosomal RNA (492 nucleotides) under uncultured bacterium. RNAcentral describes it as "partial 16S ribosomal RNA". It matches the Rfam family "Bacterial small subunit ribosomal RNA", at positions 29 to 507 of the family's 1533-position model. The record is from RNAcentral.
AGUGAACGCUGGCGGUAGGCCUAACACAUGCAAGUCGAACGGCAUCACAUUAAGAGUUUUCUCUAACGGGUGGCGAUUGUCGGACGGGUGAGGAAUACAUCGCCAUCUACUUUUUCGUGGGGUGUAACGUAUGGCAACUUAGGCCAAUACCCCAUACGACCUACGGGUGAAAUCAGGGGAUCUUCGGACCUUGCGCGAUUGGAUGAGUCGAUGUCGGAUUAGCUAGUUGGCGGGGUAAAGUCGCACCAAGGCAACGAUCCGUAGCUGGUCUGAGAGGAUGAUCAGCCACACUGGAACUGAGACACGGUCCAGAGUCCUACGGGAGGGAGCAGUGGGGAAUAGUGGACAAUGGGCGCAAGCCUGAGCCAGCCAUACCGCGUGGGUGAAGAAGGACUUCGGGUUGUAAAGCACGUUUGUUGGGAAAGAAAAGCAGCAGGUUAAUACCGCGCUGUUCUGACGGUACCCAAAGAAUAAGCACCGGCUAACUUCGUG